AUAUAAAAACAGUUAGGAUAAAACCAAAAAAAAA
Molecule: small RNA, 34 nt
Filed under: Arabidopsis thaliana (thale cress)
Lineage: Eukaryota; Viridiplantae; Streptophyta; Magnoliopsida; Brassicales; Brassicaceae
Description: ATSL190290
Source: RNAcentral